Molecule: unclassified non-coding RNA, 1779 nt
Filed under: Leishmania donovani
Lineage: Eukaryota; Euglenozoa; Kinetoplastea; Trypanosomatida; Trypanosomatidae
Description: gene:LdHU3.36.4970(CDS-product:NADH-ubiquinone_ox idoreductase_complex_I_subunit_putative)
Source: RNAcentral
CCUGUCUGCAGUUGUUUCUGUUUUUCCCGCCUCGGCUCUACGCAAGCUUGCGCACGCAGGGAUACCAUCUUCAGAUAUCCUCUCUGCGUGUGCGGUGGCUUGAGCAAGGAAGUUGGUGCCGUCCUGCACCACCGCCUCCCCUCCUCUAUCGCAAUCGUUAGCACUCACAAACUCGCAGCUCGAGCGAGAAGACUGUAGCAGCGCCGACCGUCUUAGGAAAACCGCCUUUCAGUAAGGAGGGAGAGCGAGAAGUGUGGGCGCGUGUCUGUAUGUGUGCUGCUGCUUUUUAGUUUAGCUUCGCAAUCUUUAUCUGUAGCGAAGGCGUUUUCAGCUCUCGUGCACGUGGAGGUGCUUUUCCUUUUUUAUAUACCCAUGUAGAGAGAGCGUCCCCGCGCAUACCAACGCACACAUUCGCGCCCAUUAGGAGGAACGGAAAGUCUAUGUUUAAGGAAUAUUACGGAGACCUGGACGUUUUUCACUUCCGCAGGAUCUCACGUCGACAGAAUUAGCAUAGCGCCUGCGGUGCUUGCGUCUUUUUUUUUGCUCUUAUCGAGUUGCAGGCAUGACGGCAGCUGGUGAUGCGCACAGUGGCGGCAGCCACGCGCACGAUGACCACCGCGGCCACCAUGGCGUGGCCACAGCCCCUUACGAGAAAAUCAAGGUGCCGUCGAUGGCGUCAGAAGACUAUCUCGAUAACUUGCCGGCUUUUGACACGAAAAAGCCCAUGCCAAAGCCGCGCAGCGCAGUGGAGCGCUUCACGCGCGUGCUGCAGAUGCAAUUCGGCCAGGACCCUGACAUGCCCACCCUCGGCUACAACACUGAGCGCAAGUACCACAGUCUCCUCGACUACCUGGCUAGUCCCAUAACUCCGCUGCGUCCGCGUACGUACGUGGACUCUCACACGCGUCCAAAUCCAUGCCCGGAGGAGUACUGGUGGGCGUCGUGGCGGUGGCCUCGCACAAAGUACGUCAACGCCAAGGUGCCGCCGCCGGUGGAUGGUAAGUACACCGACUACUACCACUACUUAGCGUUCAAGAACUGGCUAGAGCGGGAGCGCGAUGUUUACGUGGCACAUGCCAACUUGGUGCACGAGAUGACGUCGCGCUGCCUCGUCAAGGAGGGGCAGUACAACGCCGCCAAGAACUGCCGCCACCUGUACCACAAGGGGUUCGCCAUGUCGCGUAUGGAGGAGCUCAAUCAGGCGAUGCUGUAUAUGGCCAUGACAGGUAACGCCGCGAUCCGUGAGACGCCGUACCCGGAGAACUUUGUAGAAGAGAAGCGCAAGAUCUACGACGACUGGCUGUACCGCACUCGCAUGCGCAAGCCUGGUGAUGCGGCGUAGUGGGCAACCUCCCCUACCUCUCACACACACCCGAUAUGCGCUGCUUAACUAUGCUCAUCUCUGCUAGAUAGAAACUGCACGCGCGCCGCAGUUCACCGUUCCACCAGACAGGUUGGCGUGCUCUUACUUGCGAGCGAAAGGAAAAAAGGAGCCAAUGUGGCGACACUGUUUCACUGACGCGGACCAUUAAGGAAGUCGAGCGCAGCUAGCUGUACCUCCUUCCUCUGUGCCUGCGUGAAGAGUUUACCCGCCUUUGGGUCGCCCUUCUUUUGCCUUGCUCAUGCUUGCGUGUGUCUGUGUGUGCGCAGAUUAUGUGAGUGUCUGCUUCAUCCGUGCACAAGCACAAACUCCCCUCCCCUCUCCGCUCACGCACGCACGCAAAGCAUGCGGCUAUGCUUUCUCUCUAGCCAAACGACGCAUCAUAGCCUAAACGAACG